AUUGAACGCUGGCGGCAGGCCUAACACAUGCAAGUCGAACGAGUGGCGGACGGGUGAGUAAUGUCUGGGAAACUGCCUGAUGGAGGGGGAUAACUACUGGAAACGGUAGCUAAUACCGCAUACCAUCAGAUGUGCCCAGAUGGGUUUAGCUUGUUGGUGGGGUAACGGCUCACCAAGGCGACGAUCCCUAGCUGGUGUGAGAGGGUGACCAGCCACACUGGAACUGAGGCACGGUCCAGACUCCUACGGGAGUCAGCAUGGGGGAAUAUUUCACAAUGGGCGCAAGCCUGCUGCAGCCAUGCCGCGUGUAGGAAGAAGGCCUUCGGGUUGUAAAGUACUUUCAGCGGGUAGGCGUUACCCUCAGAAGAAGCACCGGCUAACUCCGUGACAGCAGCCGCGGUAAUUC
This 406-nucleotide ribosomal RNA is filed under the name uncultured bacterium. RNAcentral's name for it is "partial 16S ribosomal RNA". It matches the Rfam family "Bacterial small subunit ribosomal RNA", at positions 30 to 526 of the family's 1533-position model. The record is from RNAcentral.